UACGGAGGGUGCGAGCGUUGUUCGGAAUCAUUGGGCGUAAAGCGCGCGCAGGCGGCCUGUUAAGUCUACGGGUGAAAUGCCGGGGCUCAACCCCGUGCAUGCCCGAGAUACUGGCAGGCUAGAGACACGUAGAGGCAAGCGGAAUUCCGGGUGUAGCGGUGGGAUGCGUAGAGAUCCGGAAGAACACCGGAGGCGAAGGCGGCUUGCUGGGCGUGAUCUGACGCUGAGGCGCGAAGGCGUGGGGAGCAAACAGG
This 254-nucleotide unclassified non-coding RNA is filed under the name uncultured Gemmatimonadota bacterium. Its description in RNAcentral is "uncultured Gemmatimonadetes bacterium contains 16S-23S intergenic spacer region". It matches the Rfam family "Bacterial small subunit ribosomal RNA", at positions 524 to 776 of the family's 1533-position model. The record is from RNAcentral. Lineage: Bacteria; Pseudomonadati; Gemmatimonadota.